GCCGCGGUCUGCGGAAUGUCAACUAUUCAACAUGGAGGCGGAGGUCGAUAAGCUGGAACUGAUGGUGAGUGCAAAGUGAAGGAGAUCUACUGGGUAGUUUAUUUUUCCCCCAUGGCCUCGGAGGUGGGGCACAAUUUGGAGUCGCCGGAAACUCCGGGCGGCGGAGGCUGGACCAGAGUCGAGUUCCCUCCUCCUGCACCAAAGGGAGCCGCCACCGUCUGGUGUCUAAACCGCCUCG
Molecule: long non-coding RNA, 238 nt
Filed under: Homo sapiens (human)
Lineage: Eukaryota; Metazoa; Chordata; Mammalia; Primates; Hominidae
Description: non-protein coding lnc-TRIM37-1:2
Source: RNAcentral